CGGUUAGACUAAAAGACCUAGCUAUAUUAUUAAGGUAAAAAGGUGGUUAAAUGUAACUUAAACUAAUAGUCCUAUAAUUUAUUAUGGAAAAGUGAAAUUUUUAUAUAAAUAAAUAAAUCAAAAAUUACUAAAAGGAAUUGAACCCACUAUAACUUGGAGGGAAACUGGGAUUUGAUACCCCAUUAUUCUUAGUUGUAAAUUAACAUUAAGUUUACCAGAGUACUACGAAUAUCAAUAAUUUAAAACUCAAAGAGCUUGGCGGUGUUUUAGACCACUUAGGGGAACCUGUCUCAUAAUCGAUAAUCCGCGCAAUACCUGACCUUUUGUUGCAAUACAGUUUGUACACCGUUGUCACCAGGUAACCUUUUAGAGAAACUUAGUUAGCAAAAAAAUAAAUUAAAUUUGAAUGUCAAAUCAAGGUGCAGCUAAUAGAAAGGGGAGGAUGGGUUACAAUUAAAACUUAUAAUACGAAUCAGAUAGUGAAAUCUAACUGUGAAGGAGGACUUAAAAGUAAAACUAUUUAUAUAAAUAACUUGAAUUGGGCUCUGAAAUGUGUACACGCC
This 563-nucleotide ribosomal RNA is filed under the name Cancellaria albida. RNAcentral describes it as "partial 12S ribosomal RNA". Lineage: Eukaryota; Metazoa; Mollusca; Gastropoda; Neogastropoda; Cancellariidae. The record is from RNAcentral.